CACUGUUCAGGUUUUGGAAGUGAACUAUUCUUUAUUAAUGACGUUAUUUGUUAAGUCUUGUACUUGUGUUUUCCAGGUUUACUGGUUCAGCUGCUGCAGCCUGGUCAGUAACCCCAGCUCUCACCCUACAAAUUAAACAGGUGUCACCACUUCACUAUCACAGAGUCUUUGUACAAUGAAGAAGUUCUUUGAGACCAGGAUUGAGAACUCCAGGUGUCACCACUUCAUCCACAACAUCAUCCAUGAUCACAGACACGUCGUCCAUGAUUGGAGAGACAUUGAGGAAGAGGGAGACAUUGUCCACAGUCAGACACAUUGUCCCUGAUCGCAGAGACCUUGUCAAAGACGAGAGAGAUGUUGUCCAUGAUGUCGGAAGAUAUUAUUGGUCCCCGAUAAGUCAGCAUCCCCGGCGUUCAUUGAGACAUUGUCGAUGAUCACAGAGACACCCAUCUAGGAUCUCAGAGACAUCGUCCACGACCACUAAGACAUUGCCCAUAAUUGCAGAGACUUUGUCCAUAAUCACAGAGACAUUGUCCGCGAUUACAGAGAGUCUUCGUACAAUGAAGAAGUUCUUUAAGACCAGGACAGAGGCCUCCAGGUGUCACCACUUCAUCCACGACACAAUCACAGAGACAUCGUCCAUGAUCACAGAGACUUCGUCCAAACCUUGGUUUCACCAUGAAGAAGUUCUUUGAGACGAGGACUGAGCCCUCCAGGUGUCACCACUUCAUCCACGACAUCAUCCACAAUUGCCAAGACGUCCACGAUCAGAGACAUUGUCCACGAUUGGAGAGACAUAGUCAAAAAUCGCAGUGACCGAGUUCCCCGAUUUGAAAGCAUCGUCCACAGUCAGAGUGAGAUGAUCAUAGAGACAUUGUCCAUAAUCUUAGAAACACUGUCUGCGAUCACAGAGAUGUAGUCCAUCGCUGAGGUGUUGUCCAUGAUCACAUCUUCAUACAAUUAAGAAGUUCUUUGAGACCAGGACAGAGGUCUCCAGGUAAUUCACAAACAGCUUCACAUCAACUGUCCAACACAGAGCACUGACAUUAAAUUGUUUAUGGUCAGUAUUCAGUAUAUCAGAAAAUUGUAACUUUUUUUUUUAACCAUUUUUAAUGCUUGACUAUAUGACAUGUUUUGGCCGUUUUUGACGCCUUACCAUACUAUGACCUUUGUAUGAGCAUUUUUGAUGCCUUACCUGUCAUGCGGCUUCAGACAAAGGAACUGUCUUAAAGCAGCCAUCUUACCUUUGCUUUCCACAGAUACCCAUAUACAGAUACACAGUCACACAACAGUGUUUGUGGGUUAGGUUAGAUUUUAUCAAUUAAUUUAAAUGUUUUUGCUAUUUCAAACAGUGCAAUAUCAGCACUCAAAUCCAAUCUAUUACUGAGUACAUAGUCCUGUUAUAUUGUUGUUAAUAAUAUUUAUAAUAUUGUUAUAUUAGUAUCUUUUUUUUAUAUCUUGACUUGUUUGUAUCAUGCCCGUUUCUAUUUUACUCAAAUAAAUA
Long non-coding RNA from Lates calcarifer (barramundi perch), 1504 nucleotides. RefSeq lists it as uncharacterized. NCBI's taxonomy places the organism in Eukaryota, Metazoa, Chordata, Actinopteri, Centropomidae. The transcript has 6 exons. The record is from RefSeq and is a predicted model, not a curated record.